UACAGAGGGCGCAAGCGUUAUUCGGAUUCACUGGGCAUAAAGAGCACGUAGGCGGCUACGUAAGUCGGAUGUGAAAUCCCGCGGCUCAACCGCGGAAUGGCAUCCGAUACUGUGUGGCUCGAGGUCGGAAGGGGUAAGCGGAACUCCAGGUGGAACGGUGAAAUGUGUAGAUAUCUGGAGGAACACCGGUGGCGAAGGCGGCUUACUGGUCCGAAUCUGACGCUGAGGUGCGAAAGCUAGGGGAGCGAACGGG
RNAcentral lists this ribosomal RNA (253 nucleotides) under uncultured bacterium. RNAcentral describes it as "partial 16S ribosomal RNA". It matches the Rfam family "Bacterial small subunit ribosomal RNA", at positions 524 to 776 of the family's 1533-position model. The record is from RNAcentral.